GGAUAUAUAGCUCAAGUGGUAGAGUGCAUGCUUAGCAUGCAUGAGGUCCUGGGUUCACUCCCCGGUAUCUCCU
This 73-nucleotide transfer RNA is filed under the name Camelus dromedarius (Arabian camel). It matches the Rfam family "tRNA". Rfam says of the family: Transfer RNA (tRNA) molecules are approximately 80 nucleotides in length. Their secondary structure includes four short double-helical elements and three loops (D, anti-codon, and T loops). The record is from Rfam by way of RNAcentral. Lineage: Eukaryota; Metazoa; Chordata; Mammalia; Artiodactyla; Camelidae. RNAcentral also lists the same sequence under 1 other name.